GAAAUGCGAUAAGUAGUGUGAAUUGCAGAAUUCAGUGAAUCAUCGAAUAUUUGAACGCACAUUGCGCCCUUUGGUAUUCCUUAGGGCAUGCCUGUUCGAGCGUCAUCUAAACCUUCAAGCCCUGCUUGGUGUUGGGUGCCUGUCCCGCCUCCGCGCGCGGACUCACCUCAAAUCCAUUGGCGGCCCCCGCGUCGGCCACGAGCGCAGCAGAAACGCGAACUCGUGAGCCCGUCCGGGCGGCUCCCAGAAGCUACACCCACCCAGUUUGACCUCGGAUCAGGUAGGGAUACCCGCUGAACUUAAGC
This 305-nucleotide unclassified non-coding RNA is filed under the name plant metagenome. RNAcentral describes it as "partial contains 5.8S ribosomal RNA, internal transcribed spacer 2, and large subunit ribosomal RNA". The stretch from base 1 to 105 matches the Rfam family "5.8S ribosomal RNA", at positions 50 to 154 of the family's 154-position model. The record is from RNAcentral.